Molecule: ribosomal RNA, 253 nt
Filed under: uncultured bacterium
Lineage: Bacteria
Description: partial 16S ribosomal RNA
Rfam family: Bacterial small subunit ribosomal RNA
Source: RNAcentral
GACAGAGGGUGCAAACGUUGUUCGGAGUUACUGGGCGUAAAGCGAGUGUAGGCGGUUUGGUAAGUCGGAUGUGAAAGCCCCGGGCUCAACCCGGGAAGUGCACUCGAUACUACCAAGCUAGAGUAUCGGAGAGGUUGGUGGAAUUCUCGGUGUAGAGGUGAAAUUCGUAGAUAUCGAGAGGAACACCGGUGGCGAAGGCGGCCAACUGGACGAACACUGACGCUGAGACUCGAAAGCGUGGGGAGCAAACAGG